AGCAGUCGCCGCGGGAAUACAGAGGGUGCGAGCGUUAAUCGGAUUUACUGGGCGUAAAGCGUGCGUAGGCGGCUUCUUAAGUCGGAUGUGAAAUCCCUGAGCUUAACUUAGGAAUUGCAUUCGAUACUGGGAAGCUAGAGUAUGGGAGAGGAUGGUAGAAUUCCAGGUGUAGCGGUGAAAUGCGUAGAGAUCUGGAGGAAUACCGAUGGCGAAGGCAGCCAUCUGGCCUAAUACUGACGCUGAGGUACGAAAGCAUGGGGAGCAAACAGGAUUAGAUACCCCAGUAGUCCCUGUCUCUUAUAU
Molecule: ribosomal RNA, 303 nt
Filed under: uncultured bacterium
Lineage: Bacteria
Description: partial 16S ribosomal RNA
Rfam family: Bacterial small subunit ribosomal RNA
Source: RNAcentral